This 654-nucleotide ribosomal RNA is filed under the name Enterobacter cloacae. RNAcentral's name for it is "bacterial SSU rRNA". It matches the Rfam family "Bacterial small subunit ribosomal RNA", at positions 28 to 674 of the family's 1533-position model. The record is from RNAcentral. Lineage: Bacteria; Pseudomonadati; Pseudomonadota; Gammaproteobacteria; Enterobacterales; Enterobacteriaceae.
AUUGAACGCUGGCGGCAGGCCUAACACAUGCAAGUCGAACGGUAGCACAGAGAGCUUGCUCUCGGGUGACGAGUGGCGGACGGGUGAGUAAUGUCUGGGAAACUGCCUGAUGGAGGGGGAUAACUACUGGAAACGGUAGCUAAUACCGCAUAACGUCGCAAGACCAAAGAGGGGGACCUUCGGGCCUCUUGCCAUCAGAUGUGCCCAGAUGGGAUUAGCUAGUAGGUGGGGUAACGGCUCACCUAGGCGACGAUCCCUAGCUGGUCUGAGAGGAUGACCAGCCACACUGGAACUGAGACACGGUCCAGACUCCUACGGGAGGCAGCAGUGGGGAAUAUUGCACAAUGGGCGCAAGCCUGAUGCAGCCAUGCCGCGUGUAUGAAGAAGGCCUUCGGGUUGUAAAGUACUUUCAGCGGGGAGGAAGGUGUUGUGGUUAAUAACCACAGCAAUUGACGUUACCCGCAGAAGAAGCACCGGCUAACUCCGUGCCAGCAGCCGCGGUAAUACGGAGGGUGCAAGCGUUAAUCGGAAUUACUGGGCGUAAAGCGCACGCAGGCGGUCUGUCAAGUCGGAUGUGAAAUCCCCGGGCUCAACCUGGGAACUGCAUUCGAAACUGGCAGGCUAGAGUCUGUAGAGGGGGGUAGAAUUCAUGAU